GUGAAUCAUCGAAUCUUUGAACGCAUAUUGCACUCUCUGGUAUUCCGGAGAGUAUGCCGGUUUGAGGGUAAGUAAAAAUAAUCUUUAACCAAUUUUUUUUGGUCAAAGGAGAUGAGCUCUCCUCGUUUAUAGCGGUAGCUGGAAAUAAAUGGUCAAGUCUCAUUUGAUUCGAGACGCGUAAUAAUAUUAUUUCGCGAGAUCUUCAUUAUUUGAG
Molecule: unclassified non-coding RNA, 214 nt
Filed under: Ambisporaceae sp.
Lineage: Eukaryota; Fungi; Glomeromycota; Glomeromycetes; Archaeosporales; Ambisporaceae
Description: partial contains 5.8S ribosomal RNA and internal transcribed spacer 2
Rfam family: 5.8S ribosomal RNA (bases 1-71)
Source: RNAcentral